RNAcentral lists this ribosomal RNA (496 nucleotides) under uncultured bacterium. RNAcentral describes it as "partial 16S ribosomal RNA". It matches the Rfam family "Bacterial small subunit ribosomal RNA", at positions 28 to 506 of the family's 1533-position model. The record is from RNAcentral.
GAUGAACGCUGGCGUUGUGCCUAAUACAUGCAAGUCGAGCGAACAGACGAGGAGCUUGCUCCUCUGACGUUAGCGGCGGACGGGUGAAUAACACGUGGAUAACCUACCUAUAAGACUGGGAUAACUUCGGGAAACCGGAGCUAAUACCGGAUAAUAUAUUGAACCGCAUGGUUCAAUAGUGAAAGACGGUUUUGCUGUCACUUAUAGAUGGAUCCGCGCCGCAUUAGCUAGUUGGUAAGGUAACGGCUUACCAAGGCAACGAUGCGUAGCCGACCUGAGAGGGUGAUCGGCCACACUGGAACUGAGACACGGUCCAGACUCCUACGGGAGGCAGCAGUAGGGAAUCUUCCGCAAUGGGCGAAAGCCUGACGGAGCAACGCCGCGUGAGUGAUGAAGGUCUUCGGAUCGUAAAACUCUGUUAUUAGGGAAGAACAAAUGUGUAAGUAACUAUGCACGUCUUGACGGUACCUAAUCAGAAAGCCACGGCUAACUACGU